RNAcentral lists this ribosomal RNA (564 nucleotides) under uncultured Glomeromycotina. Its description in RNAcentral is "SSU rRNA". It matches the Rfam family "Eukaryotic small subunit ribosomal RNA", at positions 548 to 1114 of the family's 1831-position model. Lineage: Eukaryota; Fungi; Glomeromycota. The record is from RNAcentral.
UUGGAGGGCAAGUCUGGUGCCAGCAGCCGCGGUAAUUCCAGCUCCAAUAGCGUAUAUUAAAGUUGUUGCAGUUAAAAAGCUCGUAGUUGAAUUUCGGGAUCAAUUUAUUGGUCGUGCUAUUGUACGUACUGGUAUUAUUGAUUCCUACCUUCUGACGAACCAUGAUGUCAUUAAUUUGGUGUCAUGGGGAAUCAGGACUGUUACUUUGAAAAAAUUAGAGUGUUUAAAGCAGGCUCACGCUUGAAUACAUUAGCAUGGAAUAACGAAAUAGGACGUUUGAUUCUAUUUUGUUGGUUUCUAGGAUCGACGUAAUGAUUAAUAGGGAUAGUUGGGGGCAUUAGUAUUCAAUUGUCAGAGGUGAAAUUCUUGGAUUUAUUGAAGACUAACUGCUGCGAAAGCAUUUGCCAAGGAUGUUUUCAUUAAUCAAGAACGAAAGUUAAGGGAUCGAAGACGAUCAGAUACCGUCGUAGUCUUAACCAUAAACUAUGCCGACUAGGGAUCGGAUGAUGUUAACUUUUUAAUGACUCAUUCGGCGCCUUACGGGAAACCAAAGUGUUUGGGUUC